AACGAACGCUGGCGGCAUGCCUAACACAUGCAAGUCGAACGAGACCUUCGGGUCUUGUGGCGCACGGCUGCGUAACGCGUGGGGACCUGCCCUUGGGUUCGGAAUAACUCCCCGAAAGGGGUGCUAAUACCGGAUAAUGUCUUCGGACCAAAGAUUUAUCGCCUUUGGAUGGGCCCGCGUUGGAUUAGCUAGUUGGUAGGGUAAAAGCCUACCAAGGCGACGAUCCAUAGCUGGUCUGAGAGGCUGAUCAGCCACACUGGGACUGAGACACGGCCCAGACUCCUACGGGAGGCAGCAGUGGGGAAUAUUGGACAAGGGGCGAAAGCCUGAUCCAGCAAUGCCGCGUGAGUGAUGAAGGCCUUAGGGUUGUAAAGCUCUUUUACCCGGGAUGAUAAUGACAGUACCGGGAGAAUAAGCUCCGGCUAACUCCGUG
RNAcentral lists this ribosomal RNA (433 nucleotides) under uncultured bacterium. Its description in RNAcentral is "partial 16S ribosomal RNA". It matches the Rfam family "Bacterial small subunit ribosomal RNA", at positions 29 to 507 of the family's 1533-position model. The record is from RNAcentral.